UAUAAAGAACUUGAAGGGACAGUACCCAACC
Molecule: non-coding RNA, 31 nt
Filed under: Mus musculus (house mouse)
Lineage: Eukaryota; Metazoa; Chordata; Mammalia; Rodentia; Muridae
Source: RNAcentral